RNAcentral lists this ribosomal RNA (273 nucleotides) under uncultured bacterium. RNAcentral describes it as "partial 16S ribosomal RNA". It matches the Rfam family "Bacterial small subunit ribosomal RNA", at positions 504 to 776 of the family's 1533-position model. The record is from RNAcentral.
UGUGCCAGCCGCCGCGGUAAUACGGAGGAUGCGAGCGUUAUCCGGAUUUAUUGGGUUUAAAGGGUGCGUAGGUGGUUAAUUAAGUCAGCGGUGAAAGUUUGUGGCUCAACCAUAAAAUUGCCGUUGAAACUAGUUGACUUGAGUAUAUUUGAGGUAGGCGGAAUGCGUGGUGUAGCGGUGAAGUGCAUAGAUAUCACGCAGAACUCCGAUUGCGAAGGCAGCUUACUAAACUAUAACUGGCACUGAAGCACGAAAGCGUGGGGAGCAAACAGG